GGCCUCAUAGCUCAGUGGUUCGAGCACUGGGCUUGUAAGCCAGGGGUCGUGAGUUCAAUUCUCACUGAGGCUU
Non-coding RNA from Hippocampus comes (tiger tail seahorse), 73 nucleotides. NCBI's taxonomy places the organism in Eukaryota, Metazoa, Chordata, Actinopteri, Syngnathiformes, Syngnathidae. The record is from the annotation of a RefSeq genome assembly.